Molecule: RNA transcript, 1461 nt
Organism: Nycticebus coucang (slow loris)
Lineage: Eukaryota; Metazoa; Chordata; Mammalia; Primates; Lorisidae
Gene name: threonine--tRNA ligase 1, cytoplasmic-like
Exons: 1
Source: RefSeq, a predicted model, not a curated record
AAAUUCCUCCACAUACUAGGAAGGCAAAGCAGAUAUGGAGACUCUCCAGAGAAUUUAUGGCAUUUUAUUCCCAGAUCCUAAAAUGUUGAAAGAGUGGGAGAAGUUUUAAGAGGAAGCUAAAAACCGAGAUCACAGGAAAAUUGGGAGGGACCAAGAACUGUAUUUCUUCUAUGAACUCAGCCCUGGAAGUUGCUUUUUCCUACCAAAGAGAGCCUACAUUAUAAUUCACUUACUGAAUUCAUUAGGAGUGAAUAUAGGAAAAGAGGAUUCUAGGAGGUGGUUACCCCAGACACCUGCACAGCCGACUCUGGAUGAUCUGAGGCCACUGGCAGCACUGCAGUGAGAACACAUUCUCAUUCGAGGUGGAAAAGGAGCUGUUUGCCCUUAAACCCACAAACUGCCCAGGACACUGCCUCAUGUUUGAGCGUUGGCCAAGGUCUUGGAGAGAGUUGCCUCUGCGUUUAGCUGAUUUCGGGGUACUUCAUAGGAAUGAACUAUCUGGAGCACUCACAGGACUUACCCAGGUACAAAGCUUCCAGCAGGAUGAUGCGCACGUAUUCUGUGCCAUGGAGCAGAUUGAGGAUGAAAUAAAAGGUUGUUUGGAUUUUCUUUUAAACUGAACCUUUCUACUCGCCCAGAAAAGUUCCUUGGAGAUAUUGAAGUAUGGAAUCAAGCUGAGAAACAAAUUGAAAAUAGUCUGAAUGAAUUUGGCGAAAAGUGGAAUUAAACCCUGGAGAUGGCGCUUUCUAUGGUCUAAAGAUUGACGUACAGAUUAAAGACGCAAUUGGUCGGUACCACCAGUGUGCGACAAUCCAGCUGGACUUUCAGUGCCCAUCAGAUUUAAUCUUACUUUUGUAAGCCAUGAUGGUGACAAUAAGAAAAGGCCAGUGAUUGUUCAUUGAGCUAUUUUGGGGUCAGUGGAGAGAAUGAUUGCUAUCCUCACUGAAAACUAUGGGGGCAAAUGGCCCUUCUGGCUGUCCCUUGCCAGGUAAUGGUAUUUUCAGUUGGACCAACAUGUGAUGAAUAUACCCAAAAGGUACGGCAGCAAUUCCAUGAUGCUAAAUUCAUGGCAGACGUUGAUCUGUAUCCAGGCUGUACAUUGAAUAAGAAGAUCAGAAAUGCGCAGUUAGCGCAAUAUAACUUCAUUCUAGUUGUUGGUGAAAAAGAGAAAAAUAGCGGCACUGUUAAUAUCUGCACAAGAGAUAAUAAAGUCCCUGGAGAACGCACCAUCUCUGAAGCCGUUGAGUGGCUGCAGCAGCUCAAGCAGUCCCACAGCAAACAGGCAGAAGAAGAAUUUUAACAAAGUACGGUUCCCACAUUGGCUAAGUAGGAACGGAUGAACAGUGUUGUCACAACAUUAACUCUGUACUCUGGGAGACGUCAAUUUAUAUUGAACUUGUAGUAGCUUGGCAGAGUCUGCGUGGGUAACUAUAGGAUCAACCUUUCGAUCUGGCAAGGUUA